Molecule: long non-coding RNA, 148 nt
Organism: Etheostoma cragini (Arkansas darter)
Lineage: Eukaryota; Metazoa; Chordata; Actinopteri; Perciformes; Percidae
Exons: 3
Source: RefSeq, a predicted model, not a curated record
CUUAUGGAUAGAACUAUAGUGAAAAUAAAUUAUUACUUUUGGUCGGGGACCCACUGGAAAACACACAAGAACCCCUGACGGACCCCAGACCCCUCUUCCAGAACCAGUGGCCUAGGCAAAUACUGGAAAAGAUAUUUAAAAUUUUCAA